UUCGGAUUGUAGUCUGCAACCCGACUACAUGAAGCUGGAAUCGCUAGUAAUCGCGGAUCAGAAUGCCGCGGUGAAUACGUUCCCGGGUCUUGUACACACCGCCCGUCACACCAUGGGAGUCGGAAAUGCCCGAAGUCUGUGACCCAACCUUAGGGAGGGAGCAGCCGAAGGCAGGUCGGAUGACUGGGGUGAAGUCGUAACAAGGUAAC
This 209-nucleotide ribosomal RNA is filed under the name uncultured bacterium. Its description in RNAcentral is "partial 16S ribosomal RNA". It matches the Rfam family "Bacterial small subunit ribosomal RNA", at positions 1292 to 1500 of the family's 1533-position model. The record is from RNAcentral.